UAGCUACAGGCUUAACACAUGCAAUUCGAGGGGAAACGAUAUUGGAAGCUUGCUUCCGAUAGGCGUCGACCGGCGCACGGGUGAGUAACGCGUAUCCAACCUGCCCACCACUUGGGGAUAACCUUGCGAAAGUAAGACUAAUACCCAAUGAUAUCUCUAGAAGACAUCUGAAAGAGAUUAAAGAUUUAUCGGUGAUGGAUGGGGAUGCGUCUGAUUAGCUUGUUGGCGGGGUAACGGCCCACCAAGGCAACGAUCAGUAGGGGUUCUGAGAGGAAGGUCCCCCACAUUGGAACUGAGACACGGUCCAAACUCCUACGGGAGGCAGCAGUGAGGAAUAUUGGUCAAUGGACGAGAGUCUGAACCAGCCAAGUAGCGUGCAGGAAGACGGCCCUAUGGGUUGUAAACUGCUUUUAUAAGGGAAUAAAGUGAGUCUCGUGAGACUUUUUGCAUGUACCUUAUGAAUAAGGACCGGCUAAUUCCGUGCCAGCAGCCGCGGUAAUACGGAAGGUCCGGGCGUUAUCCGGAUUUAUUGGGUUUAAAGGGAGCGUAGGCCGGAGAUUAAGCGUGUUGUGAAAUGUAGACGCUCAACGUCUGCACUGCAGCGCGAACUGGUUUCCUUGAGUACGCACAAAGUGGGCGGAAUUCGUGGUGUAGCGGUGAAAUGCUUAGAUAUCACGAAGAACUCCGAUUGCGAAGGCAGCUCACUGGAGCGCAACUGACGCUGAAGCUCGAAAGUGCGGGUAUCGAACAGGAUUAGAUACCCUGGUAGUCCGCACGGUAAACGAUGGAUGCCCGCUGUUGGUCUGAAUAGGUCAGCGGCCAAGCGAAAGCAUUAAGCAUCCCACCUGGGGAGUACGCCGGCAACGGUGAAACUCAAAGGAAUUGACGGGGGCCCGCACAAGCGGAGGAACAUGUGGUUUAAUUCGAUGAUACGCGAGGAACCUUACCCGGGCUUGAAUUGCAGAGGAAGGAUUUGGAGACAAUGACGCCCUUCGGGGCCUCUGUGAAGGUGCUGCAUGGUUGUCGUCAGCUCGUGCCGUGAGGUGUCGGCUUAAGUGCCAUAACGAGCGCAACCCCUCUCCUUAGUUGCCAUCAGGUCAAGCUGGGCACUCUGGGGACACUGCCACCGUAAGGUGUGA
This 1139-nucleotide ribosomal RNA is filed under the name uncultured bacterium. RNAcentral describes it as "bacterial SSU rRNA". It matches the Rfam family "Bacterial small subunit ribosomal RNA", at positions 37 to 1167 of the family's 1533-position model. The record is from RNAcentral.